GGUCUCUGUAUACUUUAGUUGACUUCUUAUGUUUUCGUUAGAUUUUUGCUUCACUUUCUCUAAAGUUCUGUAUUGAAGACCCAAUGAAAUAUGACUUUUUUCAACUGUGGGUUCUAUUUAACUUUAUGUUCUGACUAGUUUUGGUUAAAAUAUAAGGAAAACUAAUGAAAAAGGCUUGACAACUUUGAGUUUUAACGAUAAGGACAACAUAAAGGGUAAAGUGAAUAGUACCAAGAUUGACUUUUUAGUGUAAAAAUGUGGUUUUUCGUUAAAAUGAACAGUACCGGAAGCUUUUCGUUAAAGUUCCCUAAAAUAUAUGACCCGUUCACCAGUGUAGACUUGUUUGAUGUGCUUAUAGUUGUCUUUUUUCACUUAAGCUAUUUAUAACAGUGGAUCUCAUUUCGCUUGAAUUCCUGCCAGCUUACGUAAUACUGGCUGAAUCAUGCAAAUGGUUCUUUCUUAAUAACUGUCUGUGGUUCUCACCAUUUGGACUAUCUUACUUGUUGCUCAUCCAGUGGCAUGAAGCAUCAAGCAAUAUUUUAACUUUUUUGACUGUUUACAAGUGUUCCUAA
Malus domestica (apple) is the source of this 572-nucleotide non-coding RNA. The record is from RefSeq and is a predicted model, not a curated record. Lineage: Eukaryota; Viridiplantae; Streptophyta; Magnoliopsida; Rosales; Rosaceae.